RNAcentral lists this ribosomal RNA (122 nucleotides) under Pseudomonas fluorescens. Its description in RNAcentral is "partial 16S ribosomal RNA". The stretch from base 41 to 122 matches the Rfam family "Bacterial small subunit ribosomal RNA", at positions 1 to 82 of the family's 1533-position model. The record is from RNAcentral. Lineage: Bacteria; Pseudomonadati; Pseudomonadota; Gammaproteobacteria; Pseudomonadales; Pseudomonadaceae.
UGAGCCAAGUUUAGGGUUUCUUAAAAACCCAAAGAUGUUUGAACUGAAGAGUUUGAUCAUGGCUCAGAUUGAACGCUGGCGGCAGGCCUAACACAUGCAAGUCGAGCGGUAGAGAGAAGCUU